GAUGAACGCUGGCGGCGUGCCUAAUACAUGCAAGUCGAACGAAACUUCUUUAUCACCGAGUGCUUGCACUCACCGAUAAAGAGUUGAGUGGCGAACGGGUGAGUAACACGUGGGCAACCUGCCCAAAAGAGGGGGAUAACACUUGGAAACAGGUGCUAAUACCGCAUAACCAUAGUUACCGCAUGGUAACUAUGUAAAAGGUGGCUAUACUACCGCUUUUGGAUGGGCCCGCGGCGCAUUAGCUAGUUGGUAGGGUAAAGGCUUACCAAGGCAAUGAUGCGUAGCCGAAUUGAGAGGUUGAUCGGCCACAUUGGGACUGAGACACGGCCCAAACUCCUACGGGAGGCAGCAGUAGGGAAUCUUCCACAAUGGGCGGAAGCCUGAUGGAGCAACGCCGCGUGGGUGAAGAAGGUCUUCGGAUCGUAAAACCCUGUUGUUAGAGAAGAAAGUGCGUGAGAGUAACUGUUCACGUUUCGACGGUAUCUAACCAGAAAGCCACGGCUAACUACGUG
RNAcentral lists this ribosomal RNA (512 nucleotides) under uncultured bacterium. Its description in RNAcentral is "partial 16S ribosomal RNA". It matches the Rfam family "Bacterial small subunit ribosomal RNA", at positions 28 to 507 of the family's 1533-position model. The record is from RNAcentral.